UACGGAGGGUGCAAGCGUUAAUCGGAAUUACUGGGCGUAAAGCGCACGCAGGUGGCUGAGUCAGUCGAUUGUGAAAGCCCCUGGGCUUAACCUGGGGAAUUGCAGUCGAUACUACUCAGCUAGAGUAUGGGAGAGGGCAGUGGAAUUCCCGGUGUAGCGGUGAAAUGCGUAGAUAUCGGGAGGAACAUCAGUGGCGAAGGCGGUGUUCUGGGCCGGAACUGACGCUGAGGAGCGAAAGCGUGGGUAGCAAACAGG
Molecule: ribosomal RNA, 255 nt
Filed under: uncultured bacterium
Lineage: Bacteria
Description: partial 16S ribosomal RNA
Rfam family: Bacterial small subunit ribosomal RNA
Source: RNAcentral